AGUAUUGCACAGAUUCCUCACAUUGUCACACUAAUGUGCCUCCUUCCUGACCUGGAGUGGCCACCUCUAAGUGUCUCCGGAUUGUUCACUCUCCAUGCCUAUUCAGCCCUUGGCUUCUUGGCUGAAACUGCCCUUGAAGAAGAUGCAUAUUUGAUGAUGACCAAGGCUGGCUUCAAUCUCUGCUGGCUGGCAGGUAAUGAGAGCUCUGUGGAGGCAGCACAAUCAGCCCCUGUAGAGGAAAGAACUCCUCACAUUGCUCAAAGGCAGCCAAUUAAGGAGCAGCGCAGAUGGAUUCCAAAGUGACAGACCUGCGGGUGGCUAUAUUACAACAGAAAAACUUCAAAAACAGACUCCAACGAGAGACUGCUGAGCUGGAAUUGAUAUGCAAACUAGACACAAUCAACUCCGGUUUGAAUAAGGACUGGGAAUGGCUGAACCAUUACAAACAUUGAAUCUAUCUCCCCUUAGCAGUUCCAGUGUGGUUUGGAGCCAGACAACCCACACUAGCCUACUGGCACUUUCCUGGAGGAAUAACGCUCAGAAUGAGAAAAUAGUGCUCUUGCCUAGAACCGCCUCAUCUUAAAUUCCCAGCUGAGAAAGCCCAUGAAUAUGCCAUUUGUAUCAGGGGUGGUUUUUUGUUUGUUUGUUUUUAAUCCUGUCUAUGAGAAUUGGACUAGGAUCAUUUCACAUAGGCCACUGGACAGCUAUCUG
This is a long non-coding RNA of Malaclemys terrapin pileata, 711 nucleotides long. RefSeq lists it as uncharacterized. NCBI's taxonomy places the organism in Eukaryota, Metazoa, Chordata, Testudines, Emydidae. The transcript is spliced from 4 exons. The record is from RefSeq and is a predicted model, not a curated record.